UGGGUUUGAGAGGUUGAGGGUUUCUGGAAACAGGAGGUGUUUCCUGAAAUUGUGCCAGUUUUCAGAAAAAGAAAAGAUGACCACUGCCACAAAGAUGAAUUAUGCAUACCUGGAUCACCAGAAGGGUGGAACUACAAGAUACAGAGACUUCAAAAGGACCUUUGAGAUCUUCUCCUUCAAUCCCCUAAUUUUAUACAUGAGGAAGCAAAGGCCCUGAGAGAUGAUAAAUCUUACCUGAUGUCACCCAGGUUGUAGUCACCAUCUGCAGUGAUCUUUGAGUCCAAGAAUAUAAAACACUGCUUCCAUUUCUACUUCCUCUAUUUGCCAGCAAGUGAUGGGACCAGUUGCCAAGAUCCUACUUUUGUUUAGGUUAAGCCUCUGGUCAGCUUUUGCAAUCUUCUCUUUUAUCCUCAUAAAAUGUUUCUUUUUUAAUUAUUGUUUUUUCAAAUAAUAUGUCAAAGUUUUUAAUAAUAUUUUUCUGACAUUUUUUGAUUUAUGUUCUCUCCCUUUUUUUCUCCUACCCCCUUCCCAAGAUGGCAGGUAAUAUGAUAUAAAUUUUACAUGUGUAUCAGAGAGUAUAUAUUUCCAUGUUUGUCAUGUUGGGAAAGAUGAUACAUAUUGCUUAAUACUAGAAAAAAAUCUUGGAGUAAAUAAAGUAAAAAAUGGUAUGCUUCA
This 675-nucleotide long non-coding RNA is filed under the name Monodelphis domestica (gray short-tailed opossum). RNAcentral's name for it is "lncRNA (ENSMODG00000034279.2)". Lineage: Eukaryota; Metazoa; Chordata; Mammalia; Didelphimorphia; Didelphidae. The record is from RNAcentral.